This 688-nucleotide unclassified non-coding RNA is filed under the name Hevea brasiliensis (rubber tree). The record is from RNAcentral. Lineage: Eukaryota; Viridiplantae; Streptophyta; Magnoliopsida; Malpighiales; Euphorbiaceae.
AUCAGCGUUGUUAAAGGCGCUCCGAUGUGUCGGGCAAAGCGAGGUGAGGCGAUGACCAAAUUAGGAAAGUUGACCAAAUUCCCAUUGUAAAAAGACCAAUGGAACAGUACAAUCAAAUGACCCAAAACUGAAGUUUUGAAGGAGAUUAGAAAUUCAAUUGGCAAUCAAUGCCAACAUAAUUGUGACCCAAAGUAUGUGAGUGCAAUUAGAGUUAACAAACCUAUUUAAUAUGCAAAAGUCAACAUUUUGAUCAAUUAGUCAAAUGAAUAGUAAUCAUCAACAUACCACAAACAAAGAGCUCAAAACUUAGGGGAAAAUUAUAAGAGAAAUUUAGUAUACAUAUAAUUAGUGUUGAAUUAAUUAUGGGAAAUGGUUUAGAUGAGUCUUGAGACGUUUCUAAUUUUGUGUUUCAGUAGAAGAAGAGGCCAGAAAAGAUAAGGAAAAAGUGAGUAAAGGCCUAGAGGCGACUCAUACGAGGUUUAUGCACAAUAAAUUUUGAUUUAUUGUUUUCUACUUGAAAACUUGUUUAGUUGUGCAUUGUAAACUAUUUGUAUUAAUUAUAGGUUUCAAGAAAUGUUGUGUUGCCUAAUUGUGAAUUGAAAUUUGAAAUUAAAAUUUGCUUAAUAUUUGAAUAAAAUGUUUGAAUAACUUGAUUUUGAAUUGGUUUUGGAUUCACACUUAGCAUGAC